UUCCUGGUUAAUUGUAGUUAUUUCUUACUCCCAAGUAGGAAGAGUAGAAUUGUUGAUUUCACCUUCACUUUUCUUAUGUGGAAAUGAAAGGUCAACAUCUAUAAAAAGUAAGGAGAAUAUAUCAGAACCAAACUAUUUCUGUCUGUAGUCGUUUAUUAAGGAAAAGAUUUAUCACACACCUUCCCCAGAUGUAUGUAGUAGAGACUAAUUUUUGAACUAAUCUAAUUAAAGUCAAUUUUGGGGUAGUGGUACCUCUCUAAUUUUUUCUGAGACAUACACAUUAGCAACAGAGUGUUAUGUUGUCCUAGCAACGGGUAAUGACUUCAGAAAUAGAAUUGAAUUAUGUCACAAUGGCAAUUUGAGAACAGCUGCCACUGUGUGAGUUUAGUUAGGAGGGACAGAAAAGCAUGUUGGCUGUGAUGAAACCACGUGAGGGUUUGUGGAUCUCACCUUUAGGCACUUACAGAGAGUCCAUGCCCCUCUGUAAGUGUUUUGAUGCUUGGCUGAGGCACUCUUGCAGAUACUCCUCUGUUCACCUGCCUGUCCUAACAACUCUGAUAUUACUAAAAUUUGGAGGAGCAAGAGGAUGUAGCACUGCAAUAACUGAAGGACUUCAUUUCUUUCAGUGAAAAAGAAUGAGCUGGGAGUAGAUGUUCUGGAACAGAAAUGUACAACGGAAGUAAAUUAUAUGGAAACAGAAGAUGAAAUGAUAUGAUCUAGG
Molecule: long non-coding RNA, 721 nt
Filed under: Numida meleagris (helmeted guineafowl)
Lineage: Eukaryota; Metazoa; Chordata; Aves; Galliformes; Numididae
Description: lncRNA (ENSNMEG00000006578.1)
Source: RNAcentral